GAUGAACGCUGGCGGCGUGCCUAAUACAUGCAAGUCGAGCGAACGGACGAGAAGCUUGCUUCUCUGAUGUUAGCGGCGGACGGGUGAGUAACACGUGGAUAACCUACCUAUAAGACUGGGAUAACUUCGGGAAACCGGAGCUAAUACCGGAUAAUAUUUUGAACCGCAUGGUUCAAAAGUGAAAGACGGUCUUGCUGUCACUUAUAGAUGGAUCCGCGCUGCAUUAGCUAGUUGGUAAGGUAACGGCUUACCAAGGCAACGAUGCAUAGCCGACCUGAGAGGGUGAUCGGCCACACUGGAACUGAGACACGGUCCAGACUCCUACGGGAGGCAGCAGUAGGGAAUCUUCCGCAAUGGCCGAAAGCCUGACGGAGCAACGCCGCGUGAGUGAUGAAGGUCUUCGGAUCGUAAAACUCUGUUAUUAGGGAAGAACAUAUGUGUAAGUAACUGUGCACAUCUUGACGGUACCUAAUCAGAAAGCCACGGCUAACUACGUG
This 497-nucleotide ribosomal RNA is filed under the name uncultured bacterium. RNAcentral's name for it is "partial 16S ribosomal RNA". It matches the Rfam family "Bacterial small subunit ribosomal RNA", at positions 28 to 507 of the family's 1533-position model. The record is from RNAcentral.